Molecule: long non-coding RNA, 234 nt
Filed under: Lathyrus oleraceus (garden pea)
Lineage: Eukaryota; Viridiplantae; Streptophyta; Magnoliopsida; Fabales; Fabaceae
Description: Pisum sativum (pea) long non-coding RNA (PSAT_LNC001999)
Source: RNAcentral
CAUUGACCCACAUGUUUGGUAGGCGCGCGCUCAAGAGCCAUGUGAUGUGCCAGCUCAAUUAAUUAGCUUCAUCCAACGCUCCAUGUUUUUCCACAUUUUAUUUUCUGAUUUCCAUUUUCUUUUUAUUUCUUUAAUUCCUUUUCAUUUCGAAAAAUCAUAUCUCCUUCAUUAUUGGUCCAAAAAAUGUGAGACCAAUUGCAUUUUUCUUCUUUUAAUUUCUAGUUUCUAAAAAUG